AGAGUUUGAUCCUGGCUCAGAUUGAACGCUGGCGGUAUGCCUUACACAUGCAAGUCGAACGGUAGAGGAGCAAUCCUCGAGAGUGGCGAACGGGUGAGUAAUACAUCGGAACGUGCCCAGUCGUGGGGGAUAACGUAGCGAAAGCUACGCUAAUACCGCAUACGACCCGAGGGUGAAAGCGGGGGACUCGCAAGAGCCUCGCGCGAUUGGAGCGGCCGAUGGCAGAUUAGGUAGUUGGUGGGGUAAAGGCCCACCAAGCCUGCGAUCUGUAGCUGGUCUGAGAGGACGACCAGCCACACUGGGACUGAGACACGGCCCAGACUCCUACGGGAGGCAGCAGUGGGGAAUUUUGGACAAUGGGCGAAAGCCUGAUCCAGCCAUACCGCGUGCGGGAAGAAGGCCUUCGGGUUGUAAACCGCUUUUGUCAGGGAAGAAAUACUUCGGGCUAAUACCCUGGGGUGAUGACGGUACCUGAAGAAUAAGCACCGGCUAACUACGUGCCAGCAGCCGCGGUAAUACGUAGGGUGCAAGCGUUAAUCGGAAUUACUGGGCGUAAAGCGUGCGCAGGCGGUUCUAUAAGACAGAUGUGAAAUCCCCGGGCUCAACCUGNGAACUGCAUUUGUGACUGUAGAGCUAGAGUACGGUAGAGGGGGGAUGGAAUUCUGCGUGUAGCAGUGAAAUGC
Molecule: ribosomal RNA, 683 nt
Filed under: uncultured bacterium
Lineage: Bacteria
Description: bacterial SSU rRNA
Rfam family: Bacterial small subunit ribosomal RNA
Source: RNAcentral